CGUGUAGGCGGCUCCUUAAGUCUGAUGUGAAAGCCCUGGGCUCAACCCGGGAAGUGCAUUGGAAACUGGGGAACUUGAAUACGGGAGAGGGUAGUGGAAUUCCUGGUGUAGGAGUGAAAUCCGUAGAUAUCAGGGGGAACACCGGUGGCGAAGGCGGCUGCCUGGACCGAUAUUGACGCUGAGACGCGAAAGCGUGGGGAGCAAACAGGAUUAGAUACCCUGGUAGUCCACGCCGUAAACGAUGAGUACUAGGUGUUGCGGGUAUUGACCCCUGCAGUGCCGCAGCUAACGCAUUAAGUACUCCGCCUGGGAAGUACGGUCGCAAGACUAAA
This 332-nucleotide ribosomal RNA is filed under the name uncultured bacterium. RNAcentral describes it as "bacterial SSU rRNA". It matches the Rfam family "Bacterial small subunit ribosomal RNA", at positions 568 to 898 of the family's 1533-position model. The record is from RNAcentral.